CCCGCCCGGCCGUGGCGGAGCCGCCGCCGCGCAGCCCCCGGUGCGGCCCCCGCCCCGCGGGGGGCUCCGGGACUCGGCCCUGGGCAGGGGGCUCCGGGAGCCGCGGUGUGACCGGGGGCGGGAGCACCUCCCUGGCUGGACGUCCCGCCCCAUCUCUGGAAGUGUUCCAGGCCAGGUUGGACGGGGCUUGGAGCAGCCUGGUCUGUGGGAAGGUGUCCCCGCUGCCCAGGGCAGGGAGUGGGAUGAGAUGAAGGUUACGGGCCCUGCCAACCCAAACGUGGUUCUGUGACAGGGACCGGCACCUUAACCAAGCAUUCCACACGGGGGAUAGGGAACCUGGCCGUAUCCCACACUGAGACCUCGAACUGGGACCCCAGAACCUCAGCCCAGCUGUCCAGAUCAAGAGGUGCAGGAUGCCAGGAGAAUGUGGAUGCUCUGGGGACAGGGACUGGUACGCUGGACAUAACCCCAGGAUAGGCAUCCCAGCACCUGCGCCAAGCCCCCGUGCAGAACCCUGGCUCAGAUGCCAGAACUGGGAGCCCAGCCCUUCAGACUGGGAUGGGAAGACAAUGGGGACAGAUCCAGCAUAGGCACCAGGUCGGGUCCCUGCUGCCCAAGGCCCAGCUCUGCCCCAUGGCACAGAGUCCAAGGGGAUGCAGGUGGUGAGGAGCAGCCUUCCAGCCCUGUUUGCCUGGCACUGGUGCAUUUGUGCAGCCCAGGCUGUGGUGACAGGGAGCCAAGGCACAGGCACACUCUAUUUUUUCCCACCUUGCUAAUUAAACCAACCAGAAAUAGGUCAGUCUGUUUCCAUCCGCAGGCUAUAGUGAGUACUCAACAGAUUGAAGACUUUAUUGCAUGAGGAUUUCUUUUUCCUUUGUCCACACUGACUCUCCCAUGUGUUUCAUCUACAGAGCACUUCAGUUUCAAAUGCUGCAGCCACGAACCCCUCACAUUUCACAGGAAAAAAACCUUCCAGUCUCAACAGAAGAAACUUAUCAAGUACUACCCACUGACCUCCUGCUUAUCAUUGUGGUUUCUUCCAUUUCCUGCCCACUUUGGCCUUUCCAAUUGCCAGUCUUUUCCAUUUUAAAUUUUAUUUAUAUCAUGAUGUCAUCCACAGUGAGCUGAAAAGAAGAAAGGCUUGGUGUAACGGCAGCAACUUCUUGAGCAAGAACCAUUGCAAAAGAGGAUAUCACACCACAUUAAUACUCUAGAGUAAUAAGCCAAAGAGUGACAUCCAUGACAGACUUUUUAUGAUCACAAGUAACUGUCUCUCUUCUGGGAUUGAGCAGUCCUGCCAGGCCCAGUCUCAAGCUGUGCUUGGGCAGAUGACUCAGAAGAGCCCCUUCUGCAGGAGCUGUGCCUGUUGUGAAGGGGCUGUGCCCGUUCUGCUGUGCCCGUUUUGCAGGAGCCGUGCCCGUUCUGCUGUGCCCGUUGUGCAGGAGCCGUGCCCGUUCUGCUGUGCCCGUUGUGCAGGAGCCGUGCCUGUUCUGCUGUGCCCGUUGUGCAGGAGCCGUGCCUGUUCUCGCUCCCAGCGCCGGCCCGACAUUGCCAUCGCCCGGCCCAGCCCCGCAGUGCAGCGCGCUCGCCUUCCCGGCCGGGAGAUGCGGGAAUGUGCAAAACCCUCCUGCUCCCCAGGCAGCUCCUCGGGUGCCUGCUCAACCUCCAGGUGCCACCCGGCUGGUGACAGGAGCAGCGCUGCGGGGAGCGAUGAGGGCACUGAUGCAUUUUUAACGUGGUGCUGCCAGACCCGAGUCAAGAACGCACUGGAAAAGCCCAGUUUUAAAAGUGAGCAUCACGAUGUCAGAGCCUAAAAAGCAGAACACCUAAAGAAGUGGCAAUUACAUUACCUAAGAAAUGGAAUUCACAGGCAGUGUUGCCCCCUCCCAGUAUGUGACAAAGCUGUACAAUCCGAUUUUUUUGUUUUUUCAAAGUGCAUCUUUUAGGCCAAGCUGACAGUAACUCCCCAUUUUAAUGCAGGGUACUAGAAUAGAUUUAAACACCCGGUAUUUCAGGGUAUCCAUUUCCCCUCCAUUCUCUUUAAAUAAAAUUUUUCAAGUUCUUUUCCCUGCCUCCCUCCAUGACUGCUACGCACAGAUCCAGCUCAGAAGCUCAGCUCAGUAACCACCACACAGAAAGAAUCUAUGCUAGAAGGGGUGAAAUUGUACAUUUACCAGUGGAGAUGUUGCUCUGUGCUGAAAGUGCUUUUUAGCAGGUGUGCACUUCAAAAUAAAAUCACAGCAAUCAA
Long non-coding RNA from Haemorhous mexicanus (house finch), 2248 nucleotides. RefSeq lists it as uncharacterized. The transcript is spliced from 2 exons. The record is from RefSeq and is a predicted model, not a curated record. NCBI's taxonomy places the organism in Eukaryota, Metazoa, Chordata, Aves, Passeriformes, Fringillidae.